Molecule: non-coding RNA, 322 nt
Organism: Pelobates cultripes (western spadefoot toad)
Lineage: Eukaryota; Metazoa; Chordata; Amphibia; Anura; Pelobatidae
Source: the annotation of a GenBank genome assembly
UAUAGGGUCAGGAAUACACAUUUAAAUUCCUGACUCUAUAGUGUUCCAUUAAGGUAAACUUGUGUAGUGCAGAAGAAAGGUUUUGAGAAUCACUACCUAACCUAACUAUUUGGACUUCAGGAUAUAUUUUCAAUAACAAAAAAAUUCAAUAAAAUUUAGGGACCCAUCUAUAGUACUUAACUGAAAUUAAGUUAAGCAAACCAUGAAAACUAAUAUAGAAUAAAGUGAAAACUAAUAUAGAAUAAAGUAAAAUAUAAGUAGGGAAAAUGAUAAACCACUUGCAUAUGUUUAAGAUGGCAACAUUCCCUCAAGGUGUCCGAGG